AAUCCAUGGUGAGGGCACCUUCUUAACAAAUCCUUGUACCUCUCCUAAGCCUCAUACAGUGAUUCAUAAUCAAAUUGUAGAAAAGAGGAGAUAUCAUUUUGUAACU
This 106-nucleotide small nucleolar RNA is filed under the name Theobroma cacao (cacao). RNAcentral's name for it is "Plant small nucleolar RNA R71". It matches the Rfam family "Plant small nucleolar RNA R71". From Rfam's summary of the family: R71 is a member of the C/D box family of snoRNAs containing the C (UGAUGA) and D (CUGA) box motifs. The record is from Rfam by way of RNAcentral. Lineage: Eukaryota; Viridiplantae; Streptophyta; Magnoliopsida; Malvales; Malvaceae.